This 492-nucleotide ribosomal RNA is filed under the name uncultured bacterium. RNAcentral's name for it is "partial 16S ribosomal RNA". It matches the Rfam family "Bacterial small subunit ribosomal RNA", at positions 29 to 507 of the family's 1533-position model. The record is from RNAcentral.
AGUGAACGCUGGCGGUAGGCCUAACACAUGCAAGUCGAACGGCAGCACAGUAAGAGCUUGCUCUUACGGGUGGCGAGUGGCGGACGGGUGAGGAAUACAUCGGAAUCUACUUUUUCGUGGGGGAUAACGUAGGGAAACUUACGCUAAUACAGCAUACGACCUACGGGUGAAAGCAGGGGAUCUUCGGACCUUGCGCGAUUGAAUGAGCCGAUGUCGGAUUAGCUAGUUGGCGGGGUAAAGGCCCACCAAGGCGACGAUCCGUAGCUGGUCUGAGAGGAUGAUCAGCCACACUGGAACUGAGACACGGUCCAGACUCCUACGGGAGGCAGCAGUGGGGAAUAUUGGACAAUGGGCGCAAGCCUGAUCCAGCCAUGCCGCGUGCGUGAAGAAGGCCUUCGGGUUGUAAAGCCCUUUUGUUGGGAAAGAAAAGCAGCAGGUUAAUACCCCGCUGUUCUGACGGUACCCAAAGAAUAAGCACCGGCUAACUUCGUG